Molecule: ribosomal RNA, 497 nt
Filed under: uncultured bacterium
Lineage: Bacteria
Description: partial 16S ribosomal RNA
Rfam family: Bacterial small subunit ribosomal RNA
Source: RNAcentral
GAUGAACGCUGGCGGCGUGCCUAAUACAUGCAAGUCGAGCGAACAGACGAGGAGCUUGCUCCUCUGACGUUAGCGGCGGACGGGUGAGUAACACGUGGAUACCCUACCUAUAAGACUGGGAUAACUUCGGGAAACCGGAGCUAAUACCGGAUCAUAUAUUGAACCGCAUGGUUCAAUAGUGAAAGACGGUUUUGCUGUCACUGAUAGAUGGAUCCGCGCCGCAUUAGCUAGUUGGUAAGGUAACGGCUUACCAAGGCAACGAUGCGUAGCCGACCUGAGAGGGUGAUCAGCCACACUGGAACUGAGACACGGUCCAGACUCCUACGGGAGGCAGCAGUAGGGAAUCUUCCGCAAGGGGCGAAAGCCUGACGGAGCAACGCCGCGGGAGUGAUGAAGGUCUUCGGAUCGUAAAACUCUGUUAUUAGUGAAGAACAAAUGUGUAAGUAACUAUGCACGUCUUGACGGUACCUAAUCAGAAAGCCACGGCUAACUACGUG